AUGAGGUCCAGGCGGUUAGCCACUCCGGCGUGCAUCUCCCUGCUCAUCAUAGCGGCACUCCUUUGCGCUGCCCCUGUGGCCAUCGACGCCGCGAGACAGGUCCCGAUCCCGGAUGGCGGCGGCCUUCUGAACAGCCACGACACCGCCGCCGCCUACACGACGCUGCACGAAGGGACGAGGUCCAAGACGGCGUCAACGGUCAUGGCGUGGACGGCGCAGCUACCGGCGGGGCCAAGCCCCAGGGGCCCUGGUCACUAG
Molecule: ribosomal RNA, 258 nt
Filed under: Triticum aestivum (bread wheat)
Lineage: Eukaryota; Viridiplantae; Streptophyta; Magnoliopsida; Poales; Poaceae
Description: partial small subunit ribosomal RNA
Source: RNAcentral